Molecule: ribosomal RNA, 492 nt
Filed under: uncultured bacterium
Lineage: Bacteria
Description: partial 16S ribosomal RNA
Rfam family: Bacterial small subunit ribosomal RNA
Source: RNAcentral
AGUGAACGCUGGCGGUAGGCCUAACACAUGCAAGUCGAACGGCAGCACAGUAAGAGCUUGCUCUUACGGGUGGCGAGUGGCGGACGGGUGAGGAAUACAUCGGAAUCUACUUUUUCGUGGGGGAUAACGUAGGGAAACUUACGCUGAUACCGCAUACGACCUACGGGUGAAAGCAGGGGAUCUUCGGACCUUGCGCGAUUGAAUGAGCCGAUGUCGGAUUAGCUAGUUGGCGGGGUAAAGGCCCACCAAGGCGACGAUCCGUAGCUGGUCUGAGAGGAUGAUCAGCCACACUGGAACUGAGACACGGUCCAGACUCCUACGGGAGGCAGCAGUGGGGAAUAUUGGACAAUGGGCGCAAGCCUGAUCCAGCCAUACCGCGUGGGUGAAGAAGGCCUUCGGGUUGUAAAGCCCUUUUGUUGGGAAAGAAAAGCAGCAGGUUAAUACCCCGCUGUUCUGACGGUACCCAAAGAAUAAGCACCGGCCAACUUCGUG